CAGCCGCCGCGGUAAUACGUAGGUGGCAAGCGUUGUCCGGAAUUAUUGGGCGUAAAGCGUGCGCAGGCGGUUGUGUAAGACAGGUGUGAAAUCCCCGGGCUUAACCUGGGAACUGCGCUUGUGACUGCACAGCUAGAGUAUGGCAGAGGGAGGUGGAAUUCCACGUGUAGCAGUGAAAUGCGUUGAGAUCGGAAAGAACACCAACGGCGAAAGCACUCUGCUGGGCCGACACUGACACUGAGAGACGAAAGCUAGGGGAGCAAAUGGGAUUAGAUACCCGCGUAGUCCCUGUCUCUUAUAC
Molecule: ribosomal RNA, 301 nt
Filed under: uncultured bacterium
Lineage: Bacteria
Description: partial 16S ribosomal RNA
Rfam family: Bacterial small subunit ribosomal RNA
Source: RNAcentral